RNAcentral lists this ribosomal RNA (1031 nucleotides) under uncultured Burkholderia sp. Its description in RNAcentral is "bacterial SSU rRNA". It matches the Rfam family "Bacterial small subunit ribosomal RNA", at positions 337 to 1366 of the family's 1533-position model. Lineage: Bacteria; Pseudomonadati; Pseudomonadota; Betaproteobacteria; Burkholderiales; Burkholderiaceae. The record is from RNAcentral.
UCCUACGGGAGGCAGCAGUGGGGAAUUUUGGACAAUGGGCGAAAGCCUGAUCCAGCAAUGCCGCGUGUGUGAAGAAGGCCUUCGGGUUGUAAAGCACUUUUGUCCGGAAAGAAAUCCUUGGCUCUAAUACAGUCGGGGGAUGACGGUACCGGAAGAAUAAGCACCGGCUAACUACGUGCCAGCAGCCGCGGUAAUACGUAGGGUGCGAGCGUUAAUCGGAAUUACUGGGCGUAAAGCGUGCGCAGGCGGUUUGCUAAGACCGAUGUGAAAUCCCCGGGCUCAACCUGGGAACUGCAUUGGUGACUGGCAGGCUAGAGUAUGGCAGAGGGGGGUAGAAUUCCACGUGUAGCAGUGAAAUGCGUAGAGAUGUGGAGGAAUACCGAUGGCGAAGGCAGCCCCCUGGGCCAAUACUGACGCUCAUGCACGAAAGCGUGGGGAGCAAACAGGAUUAGAUACCCUGGUAGUCCACGCCCUAAACGAUGUCAACUAGUUGUUGGGGAUUCAUUUCCUUAGUAACGUAGCUAACGCGUGAAGUUGACCGCCUGGGGAGUACGGUCGCGAGAUUAAAACUCAAAGGAAUUGACGGGGACCCGCACAAGCGGUGGAUGAUGUGGAUUAAUUCGAUGCAACGCGAAAAACCUUACCUACCCUUGACAUGGUCGGAAUCCCGCUGAGAGGUGGGAGUGCUCGAAAGAGAACCGGCGCACAGGUGCUGCAUGGCUGUCGUCAGCUCGUGUCGUGAGAUGUUGGGUUAAGUCCCGCAACGAACGCAACCCUUGUCCUUAGUUGCUACGCAAGAGCACUCUAAGGAGACUGCCGGUGACAAACCGGAGGAAGGUGGGGAUGACGUCAAGUCCUCAUGGCCCUUAUGGGUAGGGCUCCACACGUCAUACAAUGGUCGGAACAGAGGGUUGCCAACCCGCGAGGGGGAGCUAAUCCCAGAAAACCGAUCGUAGUCCGGAUUGCACUCUGCAACUCGAGUGCAUGAAGCUGGAAUCGCUAGUAAUCGCGGAUCAGCAUGCCGCGGUGAA